Molecule: ribosomal RNA, 484 nt
Filed under: uncultured bacterium
Lineage: Bacteria
Description: partial 16S ribosomal RNA
Rfam family: Bacterial small subunit ribosomal RNA
Source: RNAcentral
AUUGAACGCUGGCGUCAGUCCUAACACAUUCAAGUCGAGCGGCUGACGGGAUCUUGCUCCUGUAUUCAGCGGCGGACGGUUGAUUAAUGCCUAGGAAUCUGCCUGGUAGUGUGGGUUCACGUCCGGAAACGGGCGCUAAUACCGCCUCCGUCCUGUUGGAGAAAGUGGGGGAUCUUCGGACCUCCCGCUAUCAGAUGAUCCUAGGUCGGAUUAGCUAGUUGGUGGGGUAAAGGCCUACCAAGGCGACGAUCCGUAACUGGUCUGAGAGGAUGAUCAGUCACACUGGAACUGAGACACGGUCCAGACUCCUACGGGAGGCAGCAGUGGGGAAUAUUGGACAAUGGGCGAAAGCCUGAUCCAGACAUGCCGCGUGUGUGAAGAAGGUCUUCGGAUUGUAAAGCACUUUAAGUUGGGAGGAAGGGCAGUAAGUUAAUACCUUGCUGUUUUGACGUUACCAACAGAAUAAGCACCGGCUAACUUCGUG